Molecule: long non-coding RNA, 3168 nt
Organism: Myotis daubentonii (Daubenton's bat)
Lineage: Eukaryota; Metazoa; Chordata; Mammalia; Chiroptera; Vespertilionidae
Exons: 2
Source: RefSeq, a predicted model, not a curated record
UGAAAAUUACCAGUAAAGAAACGGAGUUUUCUUUAAUGCAAAGAAAGAUGAAUAAUUGAUGUUUAUGUUUUAAUUCAAAUGUAGGCUGCACUGUAUAUUCUAAGGUAAAUAUAUUUUUGUGUUAGUUUUGGACCUGUUGCUCCUUUAUUUUAUUCACCAAGAGAUUAGAACUGUGAAGGCAUGGGAGAAUGAACACUCUCAUUUUGGCAGGUUAACCUGGGGUAUAUUGAGCACAACAACCAACAUCCAGAGAGUAGGUGUUCAUAUUAGCUUUGAUAAAAACCAAUAAGUAUAAAGAGUCUGGCCUUUUUUUUUUUUUAACAGUUAAUACCAAGUGUCAAGCAAAGAAGCACACGUUAUCAAUUAUUUUCUAGCUUUAGACAUAGUUGAGGUCCUUCCCCCUUAAAAAUUGGUCACAGUAAGUGAGGCAUUUAAAGCAGGUCAACAUGAGUUUAAAAAUAUUGGCUUGGGAGCUGCUUCGGUCCUUAUCUUUGUCCUUCUGUUUAUUUAUAGACUGGAAAGGGAAGACAGCCUUUCCUGCUUUUUCAGUUUCCCAAUGAUGAUAUCUCAGUUUGUAAUGAACUGAUUCAAAGGAAGAAGGCAUUCUUUCUACAUCUGCAGAAGGAACCACCACUAUUAAAAGCUGGGGUCAGGGUUGUCAAAUUCAAAUGCUUACGUGAUUUCCACCAUUACUCUUCAUUUAAAAAUUAAUGCAACUUUUUCAAAAAAUUCUUAGCUUUAAAAUGUAUUAGAGGUGGUGUUAUAAAAAGAAUAUAAUAAAAAUCAGUGUUAUAAAAGGAUAUAAAGAUAAUUGCUACAAGCCAUAGUAAAGCUAAUAACCCUUUUUUGGCAUUUCAUGGCUGGUCCUGAUAUCAAAUUUUGUUACUGUUGGCAAGAAAUUAAGGUUAAUGGAGCCUAUGAUCUGAUUAUCCUAUUUAUAACAGUAUUUUAUAUUCCUUCAUUUAGCAGACACUUUCUGAGAGUGCUGAGUGCUAAGGAUUCAGAGAUAGGUAAGACCUAGCUUGUGCUUUUGGAGAGCUCACAGGCUUAAUUAUCAAGGGCAUCAUCCAAUCCACUGUAAGAGCCACUGUAGCAUCUCUUGACCCCUUGCGCAUAGAGGAGGCAUGCUCUAGUAUAUCUUCAUCUCUGGGUCUUUGAGAUUUCAGCAAGCUAGUCAGGCGUAGUAUGAAGAGUGGGCCAAGACUCCUUCAUUAAUCCAUUCACUCACACGUAUAAACUGACAUUUGUGGCAGGAAUGCUCUGUGCUCUUUGCUAGCAAUGCAAAGGUGACAAAAACACGUUGUUGUACUCAAGGAACUUACAGUUCAAUUUUGGAAACAAACAGGUCAAUUUACUUAAUUUCCCCACCCAGUGCAGUAAGUGCAAUGAGAUCAGUAACCAUAGACUUUCAUGGAGAAUAAGGUAGAGGCAUCUGGAGGUAGUGCUAUGGAUUCAGCAGCCCUGUUUCAAGUUCCCUAUGCCAGCUACACUCCCCAGCUGCUUUUGCAGUAACGGGGAGGAGGCCUGUGACCGAGUUGUGGUGAAUGGAACGGGGGAAGAAGUGAUGUACAUCACAUCAUGGCUUGAACAUAAAAUUCUUCACGUUCUUCCUUCCCUUUCUGAGAUGACCUUGGAGACCAGGUGUGGAAGAGGUUAGCAUUGCCCAGAGAGAAGGAUCUUGAGUCCUUGGAGGAUUGUGUGCAGAUCACUCACUCCCCUAUAAACAGUGCCCCUCCCAAACAAUAUUGGACUGUAAUUUAAAUGAGAAAUAAACUUUUGUUGUAGUAAGUCCCUAAAUUUUUAAAGCUAAUUUUAUAGCAGUUAAUCUAUAUCGAUUAAUACACUGUCUGUCCACUGUCAGGAUACCUGCCCCUCGCAAGUGUUAUGUGAUGAGGGGAAGGAAGAGUUCCAGGUGGAGAGCAGCAUUGAUGAGGGAGAAACCGUGGACUUUCAGGGAACAGCAGUUUGGUGUGUCCAGGGCAGGGCAGGAGUGGAGGGUAGUACUAUGGAUGGGACUGGAGAGAGAAGUCAGGGACAGAUCAGGCAAAGCUUUGGGGGCCAAGCUAAGGGAGGAGAACCAUCUCGACCUGAGGGAAAAGCAGCCUAAGGAUAGAGUGUAUAAUGAUGAUGUUCAAGCAAUAAAGAGAAGGAGCUUGCCCAGCGCUGGUAGAAGGUUUAAUGAUAGAAGCAAUUUGUCAUAAUAGAGAAAUUUUUCAAUAAUGGGCAUGCUUAGUGAGUUUUCUCACGUACGUGGUCUCCAAAAGUUCGUGAAUGUAGACCCUUCCGUUGAGGCUAAUGUGGCCAUGGGCAUUGAUAGAACAUGAGAAACGUGAAGGAGCUGGGAAUGUUUAGCUUGAGGAGAGGGAACUUGGAAAGACCAUAAUCUUUACCUUCAAGAAUGGAUAGCAGGUGGAAGAGGGACAUACUUGACUGAGUGCCCUCAAAGGGCUAGUACGACAAAUAGGUAGAAGGGAAGGGGACAGAUUUGAGUUCAGCACCAGGAAGAACUUUCUGUCAUAAUUCUGAAGAACAAUCAUUCAGUCCUGGAGAAGAUGGCAAUGUGUUUUAUGAACAGGAGGGGUUCAUAAACCCUUUACAGCUUUACAGCUUGGAGGUAUUGUCAUGGAGGUGGCUCUCAAGUAUUGGAUGAGGCUGGGACUUUUAGGGUCUUUGCUACGAGUAUGGUAUCCUUUGAAGACUGACUUUACUUACAUUCACCCUGAUUUCAAAGUCAAGGAAAUGUAUGAUAUAAGAUAAAAACAAAACUUCUAAAGAGAGAAUACUGUGCUUGCACAAAUGUCUUUACCUAGAGCUAACCUUUUGAAACAUAAUACACACUUUUUGUUGGGUCUGACGAAUAGGCAUUUAGCCCGGUUAACAUGGCUAAAAGAUCUUGCAGUGAUAUCACUGAAUUGUAUCUCCAAUGUCAGCCCCCAACAACAAGACAGUGGGGUGAAUGAAAAGGCAGAUACUAUCUUUCUCUGAGAUAUUGGGGGAAGAAACUUCCCCUUAACUCCCUGAUCUAUCAAAGCCAGUGGCUCAGCUGUUCCUCUGAAACUGUCAGAAUUUUUCUCAUCGCGGCCUCUGAACUGAUGGAUGGGGACUGAUUGGUCUUGCUUACCAAAUGUGCAUUGUAGCAAGACACAACUUUAUUUAAAAUACCAUUAA